This 425-nucleotide long non-coding RNA is filed under the name Anser cygnoides (Swan goose). Its description in RNAcentral is "lncRNA (ENSACDG00005007763.1)". The record is from RNAcentral. Lineage: Eukaryota; Metazoa; Chordata; Aves; Anseriformes; Anatidae.
CAUCGACUGGGACGAGGAGGAGGAGGAGGAGGUGCGGUGGGUCGGCGGCGCGCCGGGGAGCCCCUCCACCUUCCCCCGCACCGCGUCCCCCUGCAGCACCCCGCGGCACGGAGCGUCGCCGCCCCGCGGCACCAGGUCCCCCGAGGGCAGCCCCACGGCCGUGGGGCGCCUGCGCCGCACCCUCACCUUCGAGGAGGAGCCGGAGGCCGGCGGCGCCCAAUAAAACCCCACGGCUCCGCCCCCACGGCUCCGCUUUAUUGGCUGCGCUGGGCGCUGAUUGGACGGCGCGGUGGCGGGGAGGAGCGCUGAUUGGCCGGCGGGGCGGCAGCGAGAGUUGUGACUGGCCGGUUGGAAACGCGACGCUUGCGGGCUGGAGAUGGGGGUUGGCUGGUGGGAGGGCAGCGAGGGCUCUGAUUGGCUGGUGA